GACAAAACUAGGUCCAGGGUAUGACUGUGGCAGUGAGUAGGUCCAGAGAUAUGUUGGACAAAACCCACUGAGUCGAUGAUGGCUCCGAAAGCCUUUUGGAGUGGGUCUGUGGACUUUUCCAUGUGAAUAUUAAAGUCACCAAAAAUGUGAAUAUUAUCUGCGAUGACUACAAGGUCCUGUAGUAACUACUAAGUUCAGAGUGAGAAACAGCACAGUCAGAACUAUAGUAACUACUAAGCUGUUCAGAGUGAGAUGAACAGCACAGUCAGAACUAUAGUAACUACUAAGCUGUUCAGAGUGAGAUAAACAGCACAGUCAGAACUAUAGUAACGACUAAGCUGUUCAGAGUGAGAAACAGCACAGUCAGAACUAUAGUAACUACUAAGUUCUUCAGAGUGAGAAACAGCACAGUCAGAACUAUAGUAACUACUAAGUUGUUCAGAGUGAGAAACAGCACAGUCAGAACUAUAGUAAUUACUAAGUUGUUCAGAGUGAGAUAAACAGCACAGUCAGAACUAUAGUAACUACUAAGCUGUUCAGAGUGAGAAACAGCACAGUCAGAACUAUAGUAACUACUAAGUUGUUCAGAGUGAGAUAAACAGCACAGUCAGAACUAUAGUAACUACUAAGCUGUUCAGAGUGAGAAACAGCACAGUCAGAACUAUAGUAACUACUAAGUUGUUCAGAGUGAGAUAAACAGCACAGUCAGAACUAUAGUAACUACUAAGCUGUUCAGAGUGAGAAACCCACAGUCAGAACUAUAGUAACUACUAAGUUGUUCAGAGUGAGAAACAGCACAGUCAGAACUAUAGUAACUACUAAGCUGUUCAGAGUGAGAUAAACAGCACAGUCAGAACUAUAGUAACUACUAAGCUGUUCAGAGUGAGAAACAGCACAGUCAGAACUAUAGUAACUACUAAGCUGUUCAGAGUGAGAAACAGCACAGUCAGAACUAUAGUAACUACUAAGUUGUUCAGAGUGAGAAACAGCACAGUCAGAACUAUAGUAACUACUAAGUUGUUCAGAGUGAGAAACAGCACAGUCAGAACUAUAGUAACUACUAAGCUGUUCAGAGUGAGAAACAGCACAGUCAGAACUAUAGUAACUACUAAGUUGUUCAGAGUGAGAUAAACAGCAUAACAGCAAACAUGAGUUCUCUUUUAUUUUCCUUCUUCCUAAUCAUUGAACAAGUAAACUUUUAGUACAAUAGCUGUGUCUGUGUGCCCUUGUGUGUUAAUUUUAUUGCAGAUGUAUUGGAUGAGCUGUUUAAUCUCACUCAAUCCUACAGAGUUCUCCUGACCUCUGAGGACCUCCGCAUAGCUGCGCUGGUCCUGCUGUUGGGCCCUGUGGAGGGGGGGCAGGUCUGGGCCGGGGGGGGCUGCCUCUCUGAUCUGUUGGAGGUGGUGGUCUGGUGUGGGGUAGUAGGCUGGUCCCGGUCCAGUCUGGCUGUGCCGAUGGAGGUGGUGGUCUGGUGUGGGGUAGUAGGCUGGGCCCGGUCCAGUCUGGCUGCGCCGAUGGAGGUGGUGGUCUGGUGUGGGGUAGUAGGCUGGGCCCGGUCCAGUCUGGCUGCGCCGAUGGAGGUGGUGGUCUGGUGUGGGGUAGUAGGCUGGUCCCGGUCCAGUCUGGCUGUGCCGAUGGAGGUGGUGGUCUGGUGUGGGGUAGUAGGCUGGGCCUGGUCCAGUCUGGCUGCGCCGAUGGAGGUGGUGGUCUGGUGUGGGGUAGUAGGCUGGGCCUGGUCCAGUCUGGCUGCGCCGAUGGAGGUGGUGGUCUGGUGUGGGGUAGUAGGCUGGGCCUGGUCCAGUCUGGCUGCGCCGAUGGAGGUGGUGGUCUGGUGUGGGGUAGUAGGCUAGGCCUGGUCCAGUCUGGCUGCGCCGAUGGAGGUGGUGGUGCUCUGGUGGUGGGUGGGGCCUGUGGGGUUUUCUGGGUCUGGUAGGGGUCUCUGGGUGGUCCUCUGUCCAGUGCGGUGUUUGUCUUACCAAGUGCCACAUCCUUUAGAGUCUUUGCAAACAUCCCUACUGUCUGCUUCCUCAGGUGGGAGUGGUCAUGCAGAUGCUCUGGGGUGAUGAGCAACGUGCAUAUUCGUGAUGUCAGCGUUGACUUUCUGAAUGGUAUGGGGAUGAAAGUCUUUGCGGGCCAGCAGAGUGGUGAUGGUGAUGUGGGAGUUGGGGAACGACUCAGAGGCCCUCUCUGCUACUCUGUUGACCAGGCUGCCUACUCUCUCCUGCUCCACUCGCAGGUUGUUGGUGCCGGUGUGAAUGAUAAUGUGGCCUUGUGUGCCAAAGUCAGGUUGGGACAGGAUGUGGAGUGCAUCCUACGUUGUUGGGCACCAUAUUUUGGACACAUCUGUAGGGGCUGCAGAUUAUUUCAAGGAGUCCAUUCUGUCUGUUCUCUAUGCUGCAGUACCCUCUUGAUGACAGACAACUCCUCAUGGUGGCCUUUACCUCCUCAAGCGCUGUGGUAAGACUCUCUCGCUCUCAGCUCCUGGACAAGUUCUUUAGCUGGGUCCUGCACUGGUUGAUCUGGUCCUGUAGAAGCUCUGUGUCUGGGUUGGAGGUGGUGUAGCUGAGGGCUGCUCCUUCAGCUCAGUAACCCAUAGCUCUAACAGAGCCGGCCUGUCUCUCAGCAGGCUGAUGGUGGUGUAGCUGAGGGCUGCUCCUUCAGCUCAGUAACCCAUAGCUCUAACAGAGCCGGCCUGUCUCUCAGCAGGCUGAUGGUGGUGUAGCUGAGGGCUGCUCCUUCAGCUCAGUAACCCAUAGCUCUAAUAGAGCCAGCCUGUCUCUCAGCAGGCUGAUGGUGGUGUAGCUGAGGGCUGCUCCUUCAGCUCAGUAACCCAUAGCUCUAACAGAGCCAGCCUGUCUCUCAGCAGGCUGAUGGUGGUGUAGCUGAGGGCUGCUCCUUCAGCUCAGUAACCCAUAGCUCUAACAGAGCCAGCCUGUCUCUUAGCAGGCUGACGGUGGUGUAGCUGAGGGCUGCUCCUUCAGCUCAGUAACCCAUAGCUCUAACAGAGCCGGCCUGUCUCUCAGCAGGCUGACGGUGGUGUAGCUGAGGGCUGCUCCUUCAGCUCAGUAACCCAUAGCUCUAACAGAGCCAGCCUGUCUCUCAGCAGGCUGAUGGUGGUGUAGCUGAGGGCUGCUCCUUCAGCUCAGUAACCCAUAGCUCUAACAGAAC
Molecule: long non-coding RNA, 3168 nt
Filed under: Salmo salar (Atlantic salmon)
Lineage: Eukaryota; Metazoa; Chordata; Actinopteri; Salmoniformes; Salmonidae
Description: lncRNA (ENSSSAG00000088419.1)
Source: RNAcentral